UAAGGACAGCAGGAUUUUUAAACACCUCUGGAAUCAAUUUUUAUAGCAUUUCUUUCUCUUACUUGUGUUAAUGACCUCGACAAUUACCUUUCUGUAUGUCCAUAGCAAUAGGUUAAUGGUGUUCUAUAACUGAUGCGAUUUUAAAACACCUCUGGAACCAAUUUUUUAAUGUCUUCUCUCCUUCUCUUGUGCUAAUAACCUAGACAAUUAGGUUGGUAUUAUACGACACACUCACAGCCAUUUCUAAAGGUCAAAGAGGGGGUCAGUUGGGUUCUAAUGAGUGUUUCCUCAGGUUCACGGUACAGAAGAAGGUUCAAACUACCACCAGGGUCACAAAACUACUCCUGGAAAUGCCCACAACUCCUACGAAAGCCUUGUCAAAUAGGUAACUGCAACUAGAAAUGCCCACAACUCCUACGAAAGCCUUGUCAAAUACGUAACUACAACUAGAAAUGCCCACAACUCCUACGAAAGCCUUGUCAAAUACGUAACUGCAACUAGAAAUGCCCACAACUCCUACGAAAGCCUUGUCAAAUAGGUAACUGCAACUAGAAAUGCCCACAACUCCUACGAAAGCCUUGUCAAAUAGGUAACUGCAACUAGAAAUGCCCACAACUCCUAUGAAAGCCUUGUCAAAUAGGUAACUGCAACUAGAAAUGCCCACAACUCCUACAAAAGCCUUGUCAAAUACGUAACUACUACUAGAAAUGCCCACAACUCCUAUGAAAGCCUUGUCAAAUACAUAACUACUACUAGAAAUGCCCACAACUCCUACGAAAGCCUUGUCAAAUACGUAACUGCAACUAGAAAUGCCCACAACUCCUACGAAAGCCUUGUCAAAUACGUAACUGCAACUAGAAAUGCCCACAACUCCUACGAAAGCCUUGUCAAAUAUGUAACUACUACUAGAAAUGCCCACAACUCCUACGAAAGCCUUGUCAAAUAUGUAACUGCAACUAGAAAUGCCCACAUCUCCUACGAAAGCCUUGUCAAAUACGUAACUGCAACUAGAAAUGCCCACAUCUCCUACGAAAGCCUUGUCAAAUAGGUAACUGCAACUAGAAAUGCCCACAACUCCUACGAAAGCCUUGUCAAAUACGUAACUGCAACUAGAAAUGCCCACAACUCCUAUGAAAGCCUUGUCAAAUAUGUAACUCCUACUAGAAAUGCCCACAACUCCUACGAAAGCCUUGUCAAAUAGGUGUUCUUGAGUGACGAAAUGUUUUACAAUAUGACCUUUACUUUCUGUACUUUGAUAACAAUAAAUUAAAGACGUACUACAACUGAUGCGAUUUUUAAACACCCCUGGAAUGAAUUUUCUUGAUCAUUUAUUUCUUUACCUUGUGCUAAUAAGCUAG
Molecule: long non-coding RNA, 1358 nt
Organism: Eriocheir sinensis (Chinese mitten crab)
Lineage: Eukaryota; Metazoa; Arthropoda; Malacostraca; Decapoda; Varunidae
Exons: 4
Source: RefSeq, a predicted model, not a curated record